UUCGUAACCUUUGCCGUUUAGUAUGGAACAUCACCUUUCUCAGGCUCUCGCUGACGUGUUCCUGUUAGCCUGUUCAUGACUGGGCACUGGGGGUCUGGCACCCUUCAAUCUCAUGGAUGGAUAGUGUGCUGCUGUUUGGAGAUCGGUUCUUGCCGUUUGGAGCUGGGUUCAGCCUCCUCAUUUUAGAGAUAAAUUAAAGGGCAUUUGGUUGUCUGGCAGGGGUUGGAGCAAAUGCCAGCCUAAAUAUGGUUAACUGUUGCAUAGAAAGUGACUCUUGGGCUACACUCUUGCCAGCAGGACCAUCAUUCACUAAAAGUGCUCAGAGCUUGUCCAAGGACAGUAGGGAGUGGUUAGAUCACCCCUGGAUUUCUUACCCCAAAUUUUUUGGGCAUAUAAUUUUUUUUGAACCCUGCCACAAUGUCAGAAUUGGAAACUGUGACGCAACGCCCCAGGAAGACUGUGCUCCAGCCUUGAGGGCUACUUCUCCUGGGCUCCUUGCCUGCCCCCUGUAUCGGGUUGUGACGUGUGAUCUUUGCUCUGGGGACUCCUCGCCUGAUACUGCAUGCUUGUGAGCAGAGAGUUCUGCCCAUUCGUGCUACUCCCAUGCUCAGCACUCGCAGACUCUCUUGCCUGUGAGUGCCUGUGCAAGUCAUGUUUAUACAAACGCCGGGCUGUGCAGCGGCCAUGAGCAUCCUUGUGCGGGGAUGAGGUGGUGCCCCGUGUGUCGUCACUGUCUGCAUUCGAGGUCACUUUGUCCACCCAGAGUGCCUCCAGCUUUCCUUCCUUGCUCACUUGCUUUCCAGACCAGCUCUCUGAAGUUCAUUUUUAAUUUUACCCUACCUGUCCACAAAGCUCCUAUAAAAGUCAAAUCUGGCAAAGGACCAUGGCCUUAAACCUCUCUAAAAUGUCCACAGAGGAAUUCUUAAGAAAGAAUGGUUCCGUAGCUUCUGGGGAUGGGGGAUGGGAUCUGGGAAAUGAGUGUCCAAGAUGAAUCGUGUAGAAGGCUUCUCACAACCAGGCCUCCCUCCUGUCCUAAGGGACAACACUGUCCCUCAGUACCAGAAGAAAUGAAAAAAAAAAUGACGGCUAUUAGUGCAAAUAGAAAUGAGGGCAGCAGGCUUCCUGUUUGUUUCCGGGUGUCCCUAGCAGGAUUUGGGGUGAGGAGAGCGCUGUGGUGACCUGCAGUCUACCUACUUCUGGCUUGCUGGACUGUUCGCUUCAGUCUCCCUGGUCAGCUGUGGGACAGGUGCACCUCAGGGCUUCCCAGGGAGCCCCACACUGCUCUGACGGAUAGCUAAUGCAUGAUAAGCUAUCUAUCCAACCCCCUGCCUUCUUUAUUUUUUCUUCUCCAACCUCUACCUUUAGGGACACAAACUCUUUGGGGUAGAAAGCUGAGAGGGGAGAGGCUAAGUGUUUUAGAUGGGGUUUUUCCGUGCCUUGGGGUGGGACCUCCGCUAAACCCUCAGGAAUGCCGAGUGUAGCCAGGUGGCUCGUGCUUGGCGUUCUCAGCAUUUCUUUGGGGCUCCAGCCUCCUUCAGUGCAGUGUUGGCUAAUAAAUACCUUCAGCAUUGAACUGAAAACUGUCCUUUGGAGCCAUUUUUUUAGACUCAAAGGUUGUAAAGUUUUAUUGCAAUCUCCUUUGAAGUUCCUUGCCACUAUUGGUAGUCCUAAAAUUCUGUAACCAGAUUCUUUUAGAUACAAGCUCACACUUCCUUAGAGAUGAUCUCCCUUGGUGGUCAGCUGACCUGGCUGAGGGCUCCCUGGGGGAGGUUACAUAUGCAGAUGACUAUUGAAAGUGUAACCUUUUGUGACGUGUUACAUAAUAACUGGCUAGUUUGCUUCACUAGUCAGUCACUUCAGUCAGUAUUUUGAUGCUUGCUUUUGGUUGCUUCUGUCUGAUGUCAGUAGUUUUGGUUUCCUUCAAAAUAAUUGACAUUUAAUAGUUUUAUUUUGAAAUGAUGCAUAGACACCCCCACCCCCAGCUUAGAAACCAGCUUUUAUUUAGGGUUCUUGGGUCAGCCCACAGAAGCCCUCAGACCUCAGCCAUCAUGGCUGGAAUGCAGUGCUAUGCCAGAUGUGGUUGGCUUUUGUGGGCUGGCCUGGACAUGGGCUAGCACCCACUACGUUGUAAAUGGUAAAAUAAAUAAAUAAGAAAAUAUAAAGCAUUCCAGGUUGGGACUCGGCACCCAGCCUGUGGCAGCUGCUCUGUCCUCGGCAGAGAUGGCUGUCAAAUCUCUCUCUCCUAGCAAACUGCACCUAAGGGCAGGGGAAGGACAGAGGAGACAGAGGACAUUCCUUCCUAAGUUACCGAUGAUCAUGUUGACUGCUUUGGCAGAGACUCUCUGUCACGUGAAUAACAUUAAAUGCCCUAAAUAAAGCUAUGCACACUGC
RNAcentral lists this long non-coding RNA (2391 nucleotides) under Mus musculus (house mouse). RNAcentral describes it as "long non-coding RNA chr1:189874027-189876418". The record is from RNAcentral. Lineage: Eukaryota; Metazoa; Chordata; Mammalia; Rodentia; Muridae.